UGCCAGACUCCUACGGGAGGCAGCAGUGAGGAAUAUUGGUCAAUGGGCGGGAGCCUGAACCAGCCAAGUCGCGUGAGGGAAGACGGUCCUACGGAUUGUAAACCUCUUUUGCCGGGGAGCAACGGGGUCCUUGCGAGGGCCCGAUGAGAGUACCCGGAGAAAAAGCAUCGGCUAACUCCGUGCCAGCAGCCGCGGUAAUACGGAGGAUGCGAGCGUUAUCCGGAUUUAUUGGGUUUAAAGGGUGCGUAGGCGGUCCGUUAAGUCAGCGGUAAAAUUGCGGGGCUCAACCCCGUCGAGCCGUUGAAACUGGCAGACUUGAGUUGGCGAGAAGUACGCGGAAUGCGCGGUGUAGCGGUGAAAUGCAUAGAUAUCGCGCAGAACUCCGAUUGCGAAGGCAGCGUACCGGCGCCAGACUGACGCUGAGGCACGAAAGCGUGGGGAUCGAACAGGAUUAGAUACCCUGGUAA
RNAcentral lists this ribosomal RNA (467 nucleotides) under uncultured bacterium. Its description in RNAcentral is "bacterial SSU rRNA". It matches the Rfam family "Bacterial small subunit ribosomal RNA", at positions 329 to 793 of the family's 1533-position model. The record is from RNAcentral.